Molecule: non-coding RNA, 24 nt
Filed under: Rattus norvegicus (Norway rat)
Lineage: Eukaryota; Metazoa; Chordata; Mammalia; Rodentia; Muridae
Source: RNAcentral
UGGUCUGGUAGAGAGUUCUUCCUC